Long non-coding RNA from Hibiscus syriacus, 940 nucleotides. RefSeq lists it as uncharacterized. Lineage: Eukaryota; Viridiplantae; Streptophyta; Magnoliopsida; Malvales; Malvaceae. The record is from RefSeq and is a predicted model, not a curated record. The transcript is spliced from 5 exons.
UUGAGCUCCAAUUCAGGUAGUAGACCCUUAGAAGGUUUCUUGCUGCCUUCCUUCUAUAAAUUUUAAUUUUUCUCAUAAAUUUCUUAGCUUGAAAUCGAUCCUUUAAUCAAGUGUUUCUUAAUUGAAACCCUAAUUUCUCAAAGCCUCUCCUUUCUUGUCCGUAGCUAAUCAGAGACCGAGUCAUGCAUGGCGAAAAGUUCCUUCAAGCUUGAGCAUCCAUUGGAAAAGAGGCAGGAUGAAGUUGCUCGAAUAAGGGCCAAAUAUCCUGACAGAAUUCCCAUUAUUGUUGAGAAGGCUGGAAAGAGUGACGUUCCUGAUAUUGAUAAAAAAGAAGUUAGUUGCAUUUUCCCUGUUUAAAGUUGUCUUCGUAGAUUUUUGUUCUCCGGAAGCUAUUAUUCUAAAGUGAAUUGAUUUAUAUUGAACAUGGAAACAUCAAUGCUUCACCAUUCGAGUUAUUCGAUCUAUUACUUGCCAAGCUUGCCCUGGUAAUCUGUUUAUGUCCUUUUUCUUAAAAUUCUUUUUUAUUGUGGCUUUAGGUAUCUCGUUCCUGCUGAUUUGACUGUCGGACAAUUUGUUUAUGUUGUCCGUAAAAGGAUUAAGCUUAAGCUUAGUGCCGAAAAAGCUAUAUUUGUCUUUGUGAACAACACCCUCCCUCCUACUGCUGCCUUGAUGUCUGCAAUUUAUGAGGAAAACAAGGAUGAAGAUGGUUUUCUUUAUAUGACUUACAGUGGAGAGAACACAUUUGGUUCCUCUUGAAGCAUAAUGUUUUCAAUCUAUUUGAAUAGCUAAGAAGGUGUAAAUUCUCAGUGGUACCCCACCCAAUUAGGCUAAUGCUUUGUUCUUGACAAUGACAGUUCUAUAACUGUCUGAAUUUCCUACUUUUUAUUUUCUAUAGUUUGAAUCUCAGAAUCCGACUUUAUCAGUGAUUUCCAGUUGUAAA